ACUCCAUUACCAGGCAUAUGCAACAUUCAUGCACAUUGAUCUGUAGGCAAAUAUUUCCUUGAAUUCGGACCAUCAGACAUUUCUCGUUUCAGAUAAAUUUAUGCCAAAAAUCAGACGAAUUUAUGCCUGAUAUAUAUCGCAUAAAAGUAAAAUAAACAGAAUUUUAUAUUCAGAGUUCCAAUUUUCACAUAUGUUAAUUAACUUGUCUGAUCAGGAACCUAUUACAAAAUUAUCAAAAUUCUUCUAAUGCAUGGAAGUCGUUGAUCUAUAGGUCGACUUCAAGAGCUCCAUUCCACUCAUACACGGCUACUUUCUAUUAACAAAACAGGGAUGGUCUGGGGCAUCUUUUGCCGGCGCUAGGUAAAACCGGCCGCUGGAAAGAAUUGAUGUAAAUGCUUUUAAAAAAUUAUCCCAGCGGCCGACUCUCUCUCUCUCUCUCUCUGUCUGCCUCUCCCUCGCCACUCGAUCUCCCUCCCUCCCUCUCUCUCUCUCUCAGCUAGUUGCAAUAUUCCUUCCAUUGAUACGGGUACGCUAUUGGAUAUUCCAUUUUCGCACAAAGCCUAGGGCUUCAUUUCUCUUCAUCUCCUUCCCCAUUCACUACAUUUUGAUGAAGCCACCAUCUGUGGCUGGGAUUCCUAAAACCCAAAUGCAAGGACUGAUUUGAAUGUGUGCAGAUCUGUUCUCUGGAUUUUGCAGCGAUUUUGGGUUUUCGUUGUUACUGGAUUAAAUUGGCAGUGCAGUGUGAGUGACGAGUGGAUUGCUAUUGGAGAUUCUCUAAUUAUAACAGUCCUUGGUCAGGUGCUUGGAGCAUGGGGAUUGGGCUGCGAAAUUUUGAUGGAUGGGAUGGAGGUUACACAAUUCACAUGCUUCCAGCAGGUAUCUUAAAUCUUUUUAUAAAUUUUAUGUGUUUUGUGGGAGAUCUGAGCUGUGAAUCAGAUAGGAUCCAUUUGUGAAGAUCACCUGGCACAAAAGUUAGGCAUCUUAUUGGAAGCCCAAUCAUUAAACAACGAAGCCCUUGAGGCCUUCUCAAUCAAACCAGACCACGUUCCUAGCAUGGGUUCAACAGUGGUGAUACUAAGGAAAUUUGGAGGGGAGUUCAGUGCCGAUUGCCAGAAGCUUUGUAAUGAACGCUCUAUGAUUAGAACCCAUGAAUCACAAUGCGUGGUUGGAACGUGGGUAUGUGUCCAAGAUGGGAGGCUCGCUACGCUGAUUGCUUCCAAGCGGCAUUCCAGCUCAAACAAUCAUCACCUGUACAGGAUUUUGUGUGAACUCUCUUGCCAAUUCAUUGCAUUGGUGAGAACUUGAGUUCUUCAUGAGUUUGAUUCUCAUGCAAUAACUCAUAAAAUCCAUGCAACUGUAGAGCCGCUAAACCGAAGGCAAAGGGCUACAAGAUAUGUAUCUGAUCGCUGCAUCAUUUUUCGCAGGGAGCGGGCCGCACAGAUUUCCCAUAUUAAAUUUAGGAUGUAUAUAAGUUGUUUGUGUUACUGAGGCCAUCUGGCUGAAAUGCAACAGGGGAGACUUGGGUUGGAAUGGAACUGAAUCUUGGGUUUGGUGGUUUUGUCCAACUUCUUUUAAGUAUAGCAUAAGGCCCCAAUCAGAGCCGUUUAUAAUGUGGGUCCCUCAGUGGGUUGGCAGGAUCGCCCAAUUGGUGAAAAUUUUGUACCUGAGUAAUCCAAGAUGGGCCACAAUGGAGGAUGAAUGGUUUGGAUCA
This is a long non-coding RNA of Magnolia sinica, 1711 nucleotides long. RefSeq lists it as uncharacterized. The record is from RefSeq and is a predicted model, not a curated record. NCBI's taxonomy places the organism in Eukaryota, Viridiplantae, Streptophyta, Magnoliopsida, Magnoliales, Magnoliaceae. The transcript is spliced from 4 exons.